This 301-nucleotide ribosomal RNA is filed under the name uncultured bacterium. RNAcentral describes it as "partial 16S ribosomal RNA". It matches the Rfam family "Bacterial small subunit ribosomal RNA", at positions 509 to 807 of the family's 1533-position model. The record is from RNAcentral.
CAGCCGCCACGGGAAUACGGAGGGGGCUAGCGUUGUUCGGAAUUACUGGGCGUAAAGCGCACGUAGGCGGCUUGGUAAGUUAGAGGUGAAAGCCCGGAGCUCAACUCCGGAAUUGCCUUUAAGACUGCCGAGCUAGUAGGUGAGAGAGGUAAGUGGAAUUCCGAGUGUAGAGGUGAAAUUCGUAGAUAUUCGGAAGAACACCAGUGGCGAAGGCGGCCCGCUGGACAUGUAUUGACGCUGAGGUGCGAAAGCGUGGGGAGCAAACAGGAUUAGAUACCCCGGUAGUCCCUGUCUCUUAUAC